GGCAGGUUGAGGGUGAUGCCAGGAAUCAAGAUGGCCGCCUGCGACCGCUCUCAGCCCCUUCGGCCUCUACCUGAAGAGCCACGCCCCGUCUGCUACACCCAACCGGUUGGUUCCUCAAUCACAGAGAGGAAAGGCAACAUGAGGAUGACGUCAGAUACAAAUAUGGCGUUUUGGACGGGUUCAAUAGUUUGCUUGGCGUCUACUCAAGUAAUGCUGAUAGUAUAGCAAGAAGGUAUUCUGAGCAUUGUAUCAAUGGGGAAGUUCUAGAUCUUUUGCAAAGCAGGAGCAAGCUGCCCUGUUGUGAGCUCUCCGGUGGAGAGCCCCACAUGGCAAGAAAAUGAGAAGCCCCCUGGACAGACAAGAGCUGAGGCCCAGGAUACAAUAUCCUAAAAAAAACUGAAUCCUGCUGACAGUUGCCCAAGUGAAGCUGGAAGUGGAUCUUUCUGCAGUGGAUCCUUGAGAUGACUGCAGCCCUGGCUGACAACUUGAUUGCUGCCUGUGAAGGACCCUGAACCAGAGGACUCAGCGAAAUUGUGCCCAGAUUCCUGAGCUACAGAGGCAGUGAGAUAAUAAAUGCUGUUGAGGCCACAAAGUUUUGAGGUAUUUGUUAAUACAGCAAUGGAUACUUAAUACAGCUUCCUACAUGGUCUUCCUCCUUCGACCUUCACAAUACAAUCUGUUGUCCACACAGCAGUCAGAGAUCCUUUUAAAACGUAAGUCAGAUCAUCAUGACACUCACCUCCCUGCUAAGUGGCCUGCAAGGCCUUUCACGGUCUGAUCCCCUAUCCUCU
Molecule: non-coding RNA, 791 nt
Filed under: Pongo abelii (Sumatran orangutan)
Lineage: Eukaryota; Metazoa; Chordata; Mammalia; Primates; Hominidae
Source: RNAcentral